Molecule: ribosomal RNA, 432 nt
Filed under: Triticum aestivum (bread wheat)
Lineage: Eukaryota; Viridiplantae; Streptophyta; Magnoliopsida; Poales; Poaceae
Description: partial small subunit ribosomal RNA
Source: RNAcentral
AUGUAUCUACUAAAGAUAAGGGAGAACCUUUUAUCUUGGCUGAAUCGUUGUUUGAGAGAAAAUAGAAAGACGAAGGCGAUGAAGAGGAUACAUGAGCGGUCAAGUCAGCGUGAGGUGGAGAAGAUGUGGUGUUUCUGUCGGCGGCGCUGGGCCAGCAACAUCAGGCAGUGGACUACGGGGAGCUGCCGUGGGUGGUGGCUACAGUUUCCACGAGAGUGGGGUGGGGGUGGCACACGUGGGGGCGAUGGCAGCAAGUGGAUCCGUACCGCUGAGGUGCACAACCACUCCGAGAAGCCACAACAGCAGAGGAGCGGGAUCGGUGAGAAGAUUGAAGGUGUUGCGGACCCUGAUACUCAAUUCCAACAAGGUCAUGACCUUUUUUUCCUUCUUUCUUUGUCGGUGGAUUUGCGGCUGCUGAGUUCGUGUUUGUGA